UUUUUGGUUUUGAACCACAUUCGGUUUUGCCAAUUGGUGUUGUUGCGCUUGCCGACAACACAUGGUUUAUGCCUAUUCCAAAGAUAAAGGUUCUUGCUAGCAGUGCGGUAUUCUAUACACCAUUUUUGAGACACAUAUGGACAUGGUUGGGUCUUACACCAGCAACAA
Arachis ipaensis is the source of this 168-nucleotide non-coding RNA. The record is from RefSeq and is a predicted model, not a curated record. Lineage: Eukaryota; Viridiplantae; Streptophyta; Magnoliopsida; Fabales; Fabaceae.